AGCAGUAGCCGCGGGAAAACGUAGGGUGCGAGCGUUAAUCGGAAUUACUGGGCGUAAAGCGUGCGCAGGCGGUUGUGUAAGACAGGUGUGAAAUCCCCGGGCUUAACCUGGGAACUGCGCUUGUGACUGCACAGCUAGAGUAUGGCAGAGGGGGGUAGAAUUCCACGUGUAGCAGUGAAAUGCGUAGAGAUGUGGAGGAAUACCGAUGGCGAAGGCAGCCCCCUGGGCCAAUACUGACGCUCAUGCACGAAAGCGUGGGGAGCAAACAGGAUUAGAUACCCCCGUAGUCCCUGUCUCUUAUAC
RNAcentral lists this ribosomal RNA (303 nucleotides) under uncultured bacterium. RNAcentral's name for it is "partial 16S ribosomal RNA". It matches the Rfam family "Bacterial small subunit ribosomal RNA", at positions 507 to 807 of the family's 1533-position model. The record is from RNAcentral.